GUAGAUAAUGAAAAGGGUUAUUUUACCUGACUUUGUGCCUUUGUGCUCUGCCAGUUAUGGGCUUCUAAUCGAGAUCUAGCUGCCCAGCAGUUGUAAAGCCAACAAGAGAAUAAGUGACCAUUUGAAGGAAUUUAUUCAGGAAUCGAGCUUGAUAUCUAGGUUUUUUCUUGUUCCCUUCAGCCAAUAUUUGCAUGGAUGGAGUUGUUUCUUACUCUUUUAAGAGAUUGAUUUUUCAGGAGCUCAAUCAAGAAUUUUAACUUGAUUUUCACCUUUGAGUCUACUCGUUCUUGCCAUUCUGAUGAAAACUUAAGCUGUAUUUGGUGUGUUCUUCCUAAUUUGUUUCUUUCUGUUCUACUAAGAAAGAUCGAAUUUCUAGUUGGAAAAUUUAUGCACUGCUGCAGAUCACGUCCGAAGAACAUAAGCACCUCAUUAGAUGAUGUAAACCUAAACCGUUGGUUUUCUAACUUGUUCUUUUGUGAGAUCUGGUAGUUGUGCUGAGUUCUUGAAUGAGUUUUCAUCAUUUGAUCAUCCUCCUUCAACCCACAAGUGCACGGUCGCUGCAACAGGUAGAACUGUCAGGUUAGGUCCAGAAGUUAGAAGAUCAAACAAAAUGGAAUUUGGCUAAGCUGCUAAAGCACUUGGAUGGAAUUGGGAAUCAGGCAGAAUCAGGACCAGCCAUGCACACAGCAAUAUGAAGUCUCAGCUCUUAAUUCAAAUUCCACUGUCAUUGAUGGUGUUGGGAUGACUCAAGAACAGCAUUGUAGGAAUGCAACGGACAGAAGGUUGAAGAAUCAGGGAAUAACAAGUUCCAAGCAGCUCCAGCGACCAAGUAUAUCUAGUCUGACGAACUUCCCUCAUUUUGCAAGACCUGCCGCACUUGCCAAGGUUAGGCUCCAAAAUACCGCUGGAUGGAAAAGCAUUGAGAAGGCCUCCACUCCUCCAAUCAGCAAUCCAGUCAGCUUGACAUCGGUUGAAAAUAGUAGUGGUACAAAGGAUGCUAAUAAGGUAUCAGUCCAGUCAAGCUCAGAUCCACAGAAGUUGAAGUUGGGUUCAGCCCUGAAAGAUCUUCGUGGAGGAGGCUCAGUUGAGUUCUCUAAUAAUAUUUGUGCAGAAGAUGCUUUGGGGAAGAAUACUGUGAAUUUCACUAACAUGCCUGAUAACCUUCCAACCUCAAAUUUUGCAGCAAGGGUAGUUUUGUGUAGGAAUGACAAAAGAAAAGCUCCUGAAGCAGUAUCUUCUUCUGUAUGUUCAGUGAACUUAACAGGAGCUGCAUUAAAUGAACCAAAAUAUGGUGAAAAGAGAAACAAUGAUGGGGAAGAGCUUGAUUAUCUCAUCCACAGCAAAGAUCUCCAAGAGGAAUCAGUAGACAUGAGGAAACCAUCAACAGGAUGCAGUGCACAAACAAAGAGAAGCCCAGCUGCAGAAGUUCAUAAUUUAUCAGAAAGACGGAGGAGGAACAGGAUUAAUGAGAAAAUGCAUGCACUACAAGAGCUUAUACCUAACUGUAACAAGGUGGACAAAGCUUCCAUGCUUGAAGAGGCCAUUGAGUAUCUUAAAGCGCUUCAGAUGCAAGUGCAGAUCAUGUCAAUGGGAAGCAGGCUGUACAUGCCACCAAUGAUGUUAACUCCUGCAAUGCAACACAUUACACAUGCAUGCAACAAUGCGGCCUAAUUUCCCAUCAGCAGACCUAGGAAUGUGCAGAAGCACGGAAUUAACUCUAGGUUGUCCAAUGCUAGCAAUUCCACCAAUGCAUGCACCACAAUUUCCAUGUGCUCCCAGUUCAGGGCAAUCAGGCGUGAACUUGAUACUUGGACAUGUAAAUCCUUCCACAUUAGGAAUCCAAGAGCAGGGGAUUCCAGUUCUGAUGCCAAGGCCACCUCAAUUUAGUACUUUGACAAGGCUUUCUAUGAAUACACACUCUGUACCUGAGGUACAUGCACAAACUGUUAUUGCAGAUUCUGGAGAUCAGCAUGAGCAUCAGAAGUAGAAGAUGGUCAACUUACUGCCACUUUUAAUAAGACGCCUUUUGACUUUGACCCGAAUAAAUAAUCUCACCCCUUAUUUAAAAGUAUUAUUUUGACUACAUAGCUUUGAAUGGGCCCUAAUUGGGCCUAAAUUAACCAGAUUUGCGGAUCAACGAGCACAAACAGACCGAACCCGGUUCAGAGUCCGAAUUAGUAGUGAGAUAACUCGAUCGUCGGGGAUUCGUCGACGUAUAUUUUCGCCACCGCUUUCUCUCUCUGGCUGUCUCCUCCGAUCUCUCAGCCACUUCUGCAACGACGCAGCGACCAGAAGAACCCUCCUUGUUCAUGUUCUCUGCCAGGUAAUUUGUGCGUUGAUUAUUGGUUGAGCAUUAUAGAUCAUCGAUUGCUGCUUUGAAAGAAAACUGCAAUUCUGGGAGGAGCGAAAAGAGCUCUGGCUGCUGGAUGAGUCUAAAUGUCAGGAUGAACAUUUAUAUUAUUCUGAAGGUGCCAACUAGCUCAGGAAAACAGCAGUCACGCUCAAAUCAAGAGAGGCUGAGGUCGCUUAUGCUCCUUCAAAUUGCUAGUGAGGAAUGGAGUUUCAUGGCACAUCCAAUACGCCGAGGAAGAAGAAGCAACUAGAGAACCGAAAAGUAGACUUAAAAAAGGCAAGAUUUCAUUAACACCUCUCUCUCUCUCUCGUCCUUUUUGUUUAUCAAAGGAGGUUUAACGUUCAUCUUUAACUUGCUGGAUCAUAAGAUUAUCAAUUAGAUUCUUAUUCAAAUCGUAAUUAUAGUGGUAGUUGAGAUUACAUUUGUCCAUCAAAACAUGAUAAAAUGCAACUUGCUAUGUCAAUGGAUUAACCUUAUGUCUCUUCAUAUAAUUAACUAAAUCCCUUCACAAAGUAAUCACAAUUGACAGGCUAUCAACUUUUGGCCAUCAAAUGCUAAUCUAAAUUCAAAAUUAAAUAAAUAAAUGAAUAUUGUUAGCUAGCCUUCUGAACUUGAGCGAGCUAUGAAGCUAUGUCACAACUUUUUUUUGAAUUUCUUAGAGUUGGUCCAUAUGUAACUAAGUGAAGGUGUCAUUAAUUAAUGGCGAGGCCAAAGUGAUUUGAUUGACCAAUCAAUUCAAGGUAAGCCCCACCAUUAUGCAUUAAGCAAGCAAUUAAUAAGCAAAUCAUUUGUUAAUUGGAUAUAAUUGGGGCUUUUUUUCUUGUAUGAGAAGCAAAAUGAAGAAGAAUAAGACUUUGCUUUAUGUUGUAGACCACUUCUCUAGUUUGUGGGUCUCUCUUCAAAACAAAGUGUGGCUAAAUUUGAGCUCGGAGUCUCGGUCGUCAUGCGAACCAUAAAUUAGACCAUGUUAAUGUUUACUCACUUGAGUCAGGACAUGUGAUUUGGACCCGAUUUGGCUUGCUCUAACUCGACCCCAUCACCAUCAUGGUUAUCCACUUCAUCGGACCCUACAAUCGUACCAUCCAAACCCUACCACCCUCAAUAUUGUCAUAGGAGUCAUGUAGAUGGUCGUCAUUACGAAUUAAUUAAUAAUUAUCGGUCUAUCUUUCGAAUUUAAUAUUUGAUAAAGGACAAGUAAAUUCACUAGGUGCAUCUAAAUGAAAGUUGAUCAUCACCUCUCUAUUUUAAUAUUUAAUUGGUAAAAAUAAUUAAACAUUCUUAAUGAAUGUUAUCUUCCAAAACAUAAUUAUAAUGUUCAAAAUAAUUAGUAAUGAUGUAAUUUGGUAAUUAAGUCAGGGGCUCCAUUAUCAGGCUGGAAACAGAGAAGCCAUGAAGCUUUAUUAAUUUGGGGGCCCCUAAAAUCUAAAUCUCACAUGUAAAAAAUGGUUUAAUUCCCAGUUUAAUCAUUGUCAUUAGGUCACAUCCCCGAUUAACCGGUUCAAUUCUCAUCCAAACCAAAUCUAUCUCGAUUUUUUUUCUCUAGAUUUUCAAAUUUAUUAUAGAUUCUUCGAUACGUGUUUGAUCCUUGUAGAUUCGGUCACAUCGUCGUGAAUGUGUCUUGAUUUUAUUUAAAUAUAUUUAUGUAAAAUUAGAAUAAAUUACUUUUGAUAAAUUGAUCUUCCCACAUCCAAAAAAAUAGUAAUUGAAUUUAUUUAUUUAUUUUUAGAAAUUAAAAAAAACAUGAAAAUCACAUUAAAAAGCGCAGCUCCUCUCUUCCUCCUCCCACCACCGUCUCUUCUACUCCUCGGUGAACUUAAGUUCUCCUCACCACCUUCCCUCCCCCUCCGGGCAAAUGGGCGGCCCCUCCUGGUGCCACAAGGAGAAGCUUCGCAAGGGAUUGUGGUCACCGGAGGAGGAUGCGAAGCUGAUCGACUACAUCACCAGACACGGCCAUGGAUGCUGGAGCUCUGUUCCUAAGCUCGCAG
Zingiber officinale is the source of this 4338-nucleotide RNA transcript. It is a transcript of the gene named myb-related protein Hv33-like, with no coding region annotated. The transcript has 9 exons. NCBI's taxonomy places the organism in Eukaryota, Viridiplantae, Streptophyta, Magnoliopsida, Zingiberales, Zingiberaceae. The record is from RefSeq and is a predicted model, not a curated record.